UUCUGACCGUAAACAAUGCCAACUAGCGAUCCGCCGGUGGAUUUUUAGCCCUGGUGGGUAGCUUCCCGGAAACGAAAGUUUUCCGGUUCCGGGGGAAGUAUGGUUGCAAAGCUGAAACUUAAAGGAAUUGACGGAAGGGCACCACCAGGAGUGGAGCCUGCGGCUUAAUUUGACUCAACACGGGGAAACUCACCCGGCCCGGACACCGUAAGGAUUGACAGAUUGAAAGCUCUUUCAUGAUUCGGUGGUUGGUGGUGCAUGGCCGUUCUUAGUUCGUGGAUCGAUUUGUCUGGUUUAUUCCGAUAACGAGCGAGACUCUACCCUACUAAAUAGUUGCGGGAUUAUUUACUGUCCCAGUAGCUUCUUAGAGGGAUUUUCGGUGUUUAGCCGCACGAGAUUGAGCAAUAACAGGUCUGUGAUGCCCUUAGAUGUCCGGGGCUGCACGCGCGCUACACUGGCGAAAUCAGCGUGCUGUAUCCAUUCUCGAAAGGGAUUGGUAAACCCAUGAAAAUUUGCCGUGCUUGGGAUCGGAAAUUGCAAUUAUUUUCCGUGAACGAGGAAUUCCAAGUAAGUGCGAGUCAUCAACUCGCUCUG
RNAcentral lists this ribosomal RNA (594 nucleotides) under unidentified nematode. RNAcentral's name for it is "SSU rRNA". It matches the Rfam family "Eukaryotic small subunit ribosomal RNA", at positions 1024 to 1643 of the family's 1831-position model. The record is from RNAcentral. Lineage: Eukaryota; Metazoa; Nematoda.